RNAcentral lists this non-coding RNA (74 nucleotides) under Erwinia pyrifoliae. RNAcentral describes it as "Hfq-regulated sRNA 1". It matches the Rfam family "Hfq-regulated sRNA 1". The record is from Rfam by way of RNAcentral. Lineage: Bacteria; Pseudomonadati; Pseudomonadota; Gammaproteobacteria; Enterobacterales; Erwiniaceae.
AAAAAAAACCCCGCCAUCAUGGCGGGGGUAGACAGGGGUAUGUCUAUGGCAAGGAAAACAGGGAUAAUGUGUUA